CAGCAGCCGCGGUAAUACGGAGGGGGCUAGCGUUGUUCGGAAUUACUGGGCGUAAAGCGCACGUAGGCGGCUUGGUAAGUUAGAGGUGAAAGCCCAGGGCUCAACCCUGGAAUUGCCUUUAAGACUGCCGAGCUAGUAGGUGAGAGAGGUAAGUGGAAUUCCGAGUGUAGAGGUGAAAUUCGUAGAUAUUCGGAAGAACACCAGUGGCGAAGGCGGCUUACUGGCUCAUUCUAGACGCUGAGGUGCGAAAGCGUGGGGAGCAAACAGGAUUAGAUACCCCCGUAGUCCCUGUCUCUUAUAC
RNAcentral lists this ribosomal RNA (301 nucleotides) under uncultured bacterium. RNAcentral describes it as "partial 16S ribosomal RNA". It matches the Rfam family "Bacterial small subunit ribosomal RNA", at positions 509 to 807 of the family's 1533-position model. The record is from RNAcentral.